GGAGUUUGGACCGUGUCUCAGUUCCAAUGUGGGGGACCUUCCUCUCAGAACCCCUACUGAUCGUUGACUAGGUGGGCCGUUACCCCGCCUACUAUCUAAUCGGACGCAUCCCCAUCCAUGGCCGGUAAACCUUUAGUCCUCGUUAGAUGUCUGCAAAGGACCCCAUAGGGCAUUAAUCCGCUUUUCAACGGGCUAUUCCCUAGCCAUGGGCAGGUUGGAUACGCGUUACUCACCCGUGCGCCGGUCGCCAUCAGAGUUUGCAAGCAAACCCUAUGCUGCCCCUCGACUUGCAUGUGUUAAGCCUGUAGCUAGCGUUCAUC
RNAcentral lists this ribosomal RNA (320 nucleotides) under uncultured Prevotella sp. Its description in RNAcentral is "partial 16S ribosomal RNA". The record is from RNAcentral. Lineage: Bacteria; Pseudomonadati; Bacteroidota; Bacteroidia; Bacteroidales; Prevotellaceae.